This 382-nucleotide ribosomal RNA is filed under the name uncultured eukaryote. RNAcentral's name for it is "partial 18S ribosomal RNA". It matches the Rfam family "Eukaryotic small subunit ribosomal RNA", at positions 592 to 976 of the family's 1831-position model. The record is from RNAcentral.
UGUAAGCGUAUACCAAAGUUGUUGCAGUUAAAACGCUCGUAGUCGGAAUUUGGCAGUUCCGGAUGUGUGCACGUCGUGUGCGCACUUCGCGGGGAUCGCUUUUGUGGUCUUGCGUAGGAUGAGGCACUUUUAUUAGUGAACGUCCUCACGCAACCACUUUUUACUGUGGGAAAGUCAGAGUGCUCAAAGCAGGCAUUUGCCGUGAAUGUAUUAGCAUGGAAUAAUAGAAUAGGACUUGGUUCUAUUUUGUUGGUUUGUUGGGACUGAGUAAUGAUUAAGAGGGACAGUUGGGGGCAUUUGUAUUUCGGUGCUAGAGGUGAAAUUCUUAGAUUACCGAAAGACAAACUGCUGCGAAAGCGUCUGCCAAGGAUGUUUUCAUUGA